GAUGAACGCUGGCGGCGUGCUUAACACAUGCAAGUCGAACGGAAAGGCUCCUGCUUGCAUGGGUACUCGAGUGGCGAACGGGGGAGUAACACGUGGGUGAUCUGCCCUGCACUUCGUGAUAAGCCUGGGAAACUGGGUCUAAUACCGGAUAGGACGAUUGUUUGGAUGCCAUUGUGGAAAGUUUUUCGGUGUGGGAUGGGCUCGCGGCCUAUCAGCUUGUUGGUGGGGUAAUGGCCUACCAAGGCGUCGACGGGUAGCCGGCCUGAGAGGGUGUACGGCCACAUUGGGACUGAGAUACGGCGCAGACUCCUACGGGAGGCAGUAGUGGGGAAUAUUGCACAAUGGGCGCAAGCGUGAUGCAGAGACGCCGCGUGGGUGAUGACGGCCUUCGGGUUGUAAACUCCUUUGGAUAGGGCCGAAGCGCAAGUGACGGUACCUGGAGAAGAAGCACCGGCUAACUACGUG
This 465-nucleotide ribosomal RNA is filed under the name uncultured bacterium. RNAcentral describes it as "partial 16S ribosomal RNA". It matches the Rfam family "Bacterial small subunit ribosomal RNA", at positions 28 to 507 of the family's 1533-position model. The record is from RNAcentral.